Long non-coding RNA from Myotis myotis, 630 nucleotides. RefSeq lists it as uncharacterized. The transcript is spliced from 3 exons. NCBI's taxonomy places the organism in Eukaryota, Metazoa, Chordata, Mammalia, Chiroptera, Vespertilionidae. The record is from RefSeq and is a predicted model, not a curated record.
AGCCCACGUGAUCGCAGGGCGCUGCUUUACGGCCGCGGCCCCGCCCCUGUCGUACUGCAGCGUCCGCGGCGCGGUCUGCCCCCGUCGCGCCUGGAACCUGGAGUCCGGCUUCUGGAGGAGGAGCGGUGUGGCCAUGUGAUCUUCAGUUGAGAGUUCGAUCCCUGAGGUCGGACUUUUAACCUACGUCCUCUUGCGCCCCCACUAAAUACGCUGUCGUUAGGGAGUUUUUGGAGGGAGUCUUCUCUGAGCUCAACCUGGAGCCUGGAAUAAAAUAACGCUCUUCUAAAUGAUUAGCUUUGAGCUUAUGGUAAGAUAAGAAAAUAAAACUGAAUAUGUGCAAAUAGAUUAGGGUCCGGCUAUGAAAUGCCUGGCUAAUACCAGCCUGUGAGUAAGAUUCAAACGAAGCGUCCUCUUCCGUAUGCAUUUCUAUGGCUUUGACUGAGACACGGGGAUACUGGCUUCCCUUACUGUUAACAAUGAUAGGAGCAUGCCGAGGCUUGCCAAGAUCUCUCGUAUACAUUCAUUUAUAUGAGAAGACAAGGAUUGAGAUUGGGAACAGCCUUCUCCCACUGACUCAGGGCUAUCUGGUAACACUUCUGUGGUGUCAUGAGAGGUGCCUCAAGUCUAAUA